This is a non-coding RNA of Castor canadensis (American beaver), 1535 nucleotides long. Lineage: Eukaryota; Metazoa; Chordata; Mammalia; Rodentia; Castoridae. The record is from RefSeq and is a predicted model, not a curated record.
GAGGCCAUUGCCAGGUCAAUUAUGUAAUCUGAUGGCACUGUGAAUUGGUAACUAUUAACUCUCUCCUACCUCUAGACAGUGGCCUAAGAAACAAAAGCCAGUUUGGGGAUGGAUUCUGUCAAUGCUACUCAAAGAUCACACCACCAUCACCAACUGACCCUCAGAAUCUGAGAAGUAAAGUACUCUCUCCAGGACUCUCAGGCUCCUGGUGGAGAAGAUUGGAAGAAGCGACACUGAGAAUAAGGAAACAGAAGAGUGUAUGGCUUUUAUGCAUUUAGCACUAUGGCACAGCUAGUGUGAGCAGCCUCUCACCAUGGUGGCUCUGAGGAGGCAGAAGGAUCAUUUAUUGGAGCUGUGAUCCUCAUUAUCUCAAGUAGUUAGGAAGCAAGUAUGAGCCACCACCCCCAGCUGAGGGUGUUUUGAGGAUCAAGUGACAAACACAUAAAAAGACACAAUAGGGUCUGUAAUGAAACCAGGAAAUAGGCGAUCCAGCUGUGAGAAUGCCAACACGAUGGUACUGGCAGACUAAGAAGGCAAAGGAUUCAGGUCACAUCCCCCAGCUGAAAAAUGGAAAGCACAUGGUACUAAGUUCUGAGGGUCUUGUGAAGAUUAAAGAGGUCAUUGAGGAGGAUGCAUUCCAAACAGUAUUGAAAUGUUUGCUUCUUCUGAGAAGAGGCAUGAGUGGUGCGAGGAGCUGCUCUAGAUACUGCCUCCAUCUGUGUUGGUGGGAAGAUCCAGGUGAGGUCAGAAGAUGCCUGCUCAGUGGACCUUUGGCCAUCUUCACAACAUCAGAGAGGGCCCCAGGCAGGUGGCCUCUGAACCUACCCCCAGGAAAACGAGUAAGAAGCCUUACUCUGGGCAGUGUUCCCUUCACCAGCUACAGCAGGGACAAAGACGACAGACAGCCUUUAACCACCCCAAGGAUGUGCAGUAAACAAAAUGAUGUAUGGACACAUUCUUAGGAGAAAGUGGAAGAAGUUGGUAUUCAGAGAGUCAGGAGACAGUAGACAGAAGAGGGCCUGAUGGCUGCCUGUUUCUGAUUGGGAAGAGAAACUCCUGAAAGGGACAUCUCUGAAAAGGUGGAACUGAUUCUUCUGAUGCAGGCAUCACUGUGUCAUACUUGUUGCAAUGGCACAGCUCACCAACAUUAGCCUGCAAGACCAUUGUUACUGGAAAUGACCAACACUCACCGCAUCACUGCACUAGGCCUGGAUGUGUGAAUCAACUUGUUUAAGUCACAUGGAUGGUGAAAGAUUUAGGACUGGAGACCUGGUCUACCCAAAUUCAAAACUCUUUUCUCACUUCUGGGCAGAAAAGUGACUUAGGAGAGCUGUUGUAAAAGUGGGUGAUGCCCAGCUAAUGUCCCCAGAUGACACUUAAUGCAGAAAGAGGGGAUGCUGUUGAAGAGACGACACCAGGACAGGUGGAAGGUGUGAGUGUCCCAAUCCUGAGGCUCUCCAGAAGUCCUGACAUUACCAGAGGAAACAAGAGACAAGUUUUUGGUACCAAAGGAAAUGGUCAAUACUGAAAGCCAG